Long non-coding RNA from Papaver somniferum (opium poppy), 306 nucleotides. RefSeq lists it as uncharacterized. The transcript is spliced from 2 exons. Lineage: Eukaryota; Viridiplantae; Streptophyta; Magnoliopsida; Ranunculales; Papaveraceae. The record is from RefSeq and is a predicted model, not a curated record.
CUAAUUAGUGCGAGCAUUCCAGUCGAGAAGCAAAUACCGUAUAGAGGAAGGGGAAGAGGAGAAUGUACCCAAAACGUGCUUGCGAUAUGUGAUUGGGAUAUGUACUUUUUGUAUGUAGUGGUUGGAUGGGAAGGCACUGCUCAUGACUCGAGAGUGUUGACCGAGGCAGUGCGUGAUCCAUAUUUCAAGUUUCCUUUACCUCCACCAGACAAAUACUAUCUAUGUGAUGCUGCGUACUCUCAUACACAAGGGUUUAUGUGUCCGUAUCGCAACAUAAGGUAUUGGAUAGGUGAUUACCGAAGAGUU